Molecule: non-coding RNA, 1468 nt
Organism: Aegilops tauschii subsp. strangulata
Lineage: Eukaryota; Viridiplantae; Streptophyta; Magnoliopsida; Poales; Poaceae
Source: RefSeq, a predicted model, not a curated record
UUUAGCAUGUUUGUUGGCCUCAAGGAUGACCUGUUCAUCUACUUGUGCAACCCAUCCUUCUCCGCCAUGGGUACCCAGGGUCACCGAUCAUACACUGCAUCGACUAACAUUGAUAUAGACGAUGAAGAUUCAAAAUAAGUUGCCUCUCGGUUGGAUAUCCCGAAGCACGGGCUGGCAGGACUACAGUUGGGCAAAGAGAGCUUUAGCAGGGUCGAGGUUGACACCUCACUCGAUGGUCACAUAUUCUUCAAGGAAGGAUGGAAGAUGUUACUCACGUGAACAUGACUUGAGGUGUAUGAAUUACACCAUCGCACACAACGAAGAUAAAUGUUCGACGAGUUCUGGAUUUUCAUGGGUUUUGUUAGUCAUUUCUCUGGUUUUUGUAACCGAACACAUGCAUGUGUGUGUGCUUAUGUGUGGGUAGAGGCUGCAGGAACCAGUAUAUAAAUUUUGGUCUACCUUACUAAUGACUUUCAACGUUGAAUCUGUUAGUGUUCUUUUCUUAUUUAUUUUUUGUUCUCUGUUUCAGUCUGUUGUAUCCGAUUAUUAGUCCCCCCCUAUAGCUUCAGUGUUCUUCUACCACAAAUCAGAGGAGGUUUUGUUAUCUUUUAUUUAUUGUUAAUUCUCCAAACAAGAUCUAUAAAAUCUCUCACUUGAAUGUUUCUGUGCAGGAUUUAAUAGCUUCAGUGUUCUUCUACAACAAAUCAUAGCAGGAGUUAAUCAACCUUUCGCCGGUUAGUAUUCAAUUCUUUGACACACCUUUUCAAGGGAGCAGAAGGUACCUAAUUCACUUUGACAUGUUACAGUUUUUUCAAGUGCUCACAGAUAAGUUUGUUGUUACUUCAAAAGGUUUUGUGCUAAUGUGUUGCUUAGUCCAAAAAAUGAAAUGUAAUCAUGUGGUUCUAGAUGGUUAAAAAUAAGAAGGUGCAUUGAGUCUUGAUUUUUUUUGCAUCAUUAUAUUGAGCCUUUUUAAGGAUAACCUUUUUACUGUUGGAAAUCAUGGGCUAAGUUCUGUGUGUACCGGAAACAGAGAACCUUGUUAACUAUAUUGUAGAGCAGAGUUGAAUAUUGUGUGGACGUUAGUGUUGAAGAAGAUAAGUUCAUUUGUGAGUGCCUUAAUUUGAACACUCUGAUUUUCUGUGCAGCCACACACUGAAGGUAUUACUAAUACUACAUUGUACUUACGUUACUUGCUCUGUUAAGCAUGAGAGUUUAUGAUAGUUGUGUGCAGGUAUAAUUUUUCUAGGUUGAUGCACACCUCUUUACGUUGAGCUAUGAUACGUCUCCGUCGUAUCUAUAAUGUUUGAUUGUUCUAUGUCAAUAUUCUACAACUUUCAUAUACUUUUGGCAACUUUUUAUACUAUUUUUUGGACUAACAUAUUGAUCCAGUGCCCAGUGUCAGUUCCUGUUUGUUGCAUGUUUUUUGUUUGGCAGAAAAUCCCUAUCAAACGGAGUCCAAACGGGAUAA